Molecule: long non-coding RNA, 474 nt
Filed under: Sinocyclocheilus anshuiensis
Lineage: Eukaryota; Metazoa; Chordata; Actinopteri; Cypriniformes; Cyprinidae
Description: lncRNA (ENSSANG00000048911.1)
Source: RNAcentral
CUUUUUUCUUUCAGUGCUUCUGAAUUCACCCCUCGAGUGCAGGCCUCUGUCCGAGGAACCAAAAUCCAAAACCAUUUCAUGGGCCAGUGCCUGGGUGGUUACAACGAGACCUUUUUGCCUCUGAAAGGCUAACGUGUGGCCACUCAAGAAAAACAUCCUGCAUCUUCAUUUUGUAUAUAUACUAGAACCUAGUACUCCUCUGCAAACCCCUUGAAGGUCCCGGGCCCCAUGCAGUUUGAAAACCUCUGCAGAAAGGCUGGACUCGGAGCCGAGCAUCUGUGCUGCGUUUUUGCCUUCAGCAAUGGGAAUGACGGCAGAGGUUGUGUUUACGUCUGGUCUGAGCACUUGUCAGGCGAUGAACGCUGCAGUGGAGGAGAUGGAUGUCAUGUUGGGGCCAAUGUGUUGGACAGGGAGUGAUAAUAAAGCGUAAUUCGAUGGCUGUGGAGCCGAGCGUUGAGUUGUGCCUGGAGCGGG